AUUACCUAAAAACACAAAGAAAAGGCUACGGUUAAUGUAAAAUCCGCAGCGUUAAAUCAAACGCUAUGGUUUUUAUAACCCCGUAGCAUUUAUAAACUACCGUGCCCCCCCUCAAUUCACUCCCCUUUUUUCUGAGCUCAUUCCCUUCAAUACUCGGCAACCCACACCAAGGAUUCAACUCACUCACAUCGCAGCCGGUUCGGGUUGCCGCCGGUUUGUGUUGCCACCGAUUCGAGCCUUGCUUUUCCUCUUUCGUGGUUCCUCUCCAACCUCUCCAUUCAGGUGACUGUGUUGUGAUGUGCUCCUGCUCUGCCUCUCGAUUUCCCAGCAAAACCCUACUCCGCCCACUAUUUCCGCGCUGACUGCUGGAUCUCUAGCCUUAGCCAGCGAUACCUUUGCUCAGAUCUAACAACGAUGGACUUCUAUCACCCACAAAUCCGAUACUGGAUACUCUAAUAAGGUCGGUAUGCGGGUUUUGCUGAGUUUUAUUUUUUUCUAAAACCAUUUGGGUAAAAUCUCUGGAAUUGUAGGGUUUUUUUUUUUUUUUUUUUUUUUUUUUUUUUUUUUUUUUUGUGGAAUUGUUGUGUUGGGAAGAAAUUUAUUUGUUAAGUAGGUAUAUUUUGUGCCUUUUAUGGGUUUUGUUGAAUUUAUGGGCUUUCUAUCUCUUAUUUGCUUUGAUUUAAGGCGAGAACUGCAAAAAUUUGAUCUGAAAUUUGAUCGAGUUUGGGUACGGUUGGUGUUGAUUUUGUGUCUGUGCAGUGGGUUUGCAUGUGAAGAUCUGAAUUGUUUCUUCGCUUUGUCAUUGUUUCGAUUGGAUUAUCAUUGUUUCUUGUGAUUUUGUGCUCUAAUUUUAAUGGUUUUAGGGUUAUUAGGUUCGAAUAUUAUUAUUACAGUAUUUUAACCACUCUAAAUGAUCGUAAGGUAAUUGAAAUAAUUCAAAAUUGGAGUGAAGUUCAAUCAGAACAAUAAAACUUGGGAGAAGAUUGAAUUUGGUUUGGAUGGAUGUAUUUUACAAGAACGGCCAAACUUGAUUAAUGAAACUUUGUACUGGUCCCUCGUGCAAGUAUGUCUUUGCAUUACUUGUGGCGUGCAAUGUUGUGUCAUCGGAGGGUGCUUAUCUAACUCUAAAUAAUUUGGUAAUAGACAUUAUGAAAUGUCCAGGAGAUGUGAUUUCUGUUUGUUUUUCACGUCACUAUGGACGGAGUGAUAUCAAAGGCUUGAUUGGGUUUACAAAGAGUGGCAAGAUUAUUGUUGUUUUUCGAGAUCCUGUUUUGUUAGGUUUGGUUGAUUUAAGUUUAAAGCAGCUGCUUUUGAGGUUUGAUUGUCAGGGGAGAGAUGAGAUUGAUGUCAUGUUCUGAGUCAGAUUUCACCUUAUUCUCCAAUGGAUUUGACGAAUGAACUUGUACUCUGGUUGCAGUUAAGCUAGCUGUAGCAAAUAUUCAUGAACAUGUUCUCAUACAAAAUAGUGGGAACUUCUUUCUAAUUUGGAGAAGUUUUAGCAUUCUGUUUAUGAAAUGAUAUGUUCACUUCUGAUUAGAUAAAAGUAUCUCCCCCGAAAUUUGUUUCAUGCGUACUCAAAGUUUGCCGCCGAUCUUUUGCUAAUUAUUCUGUUCAGUUGCUUCUGCCUUCUUAUCAUUUAAUGCUUCAAUAUCUUUCUUUCUUUUUUUUCCCCACCAGCUUGUUGAUUAUAAGUAUUUGGCCACCAGAUUAUAAGUAUUUUGCAGGUAUUUCAUGGCUAUCCUUCUUAGGACAGCUUUCUGCAGGGUGGAAUGUUGCAGGCUUGCCGAUUAGCCGAGGCUUGAACAUGUAGUCAUUGGCAAGGGGCAAUUCAAGGCUGAAAGGACAUUGAGUAAUAUUAUCACCUGUUUGAUCAUUGUUGACCUUUUUUUGGAGUUAAUGCUCUUAUUUUCCUUACCCCCAAAUUGCAGGUUAUGAGUCCUAUCUCACUGCUCAACUUGCUGGGCAAUGUAUUGCAGUUGAUGCAUCAUGACAUUGAUGCGGCUUCUGUCUUUGAUGCUGCUGCCACUUCUGUGCUGCUGCUGUUCUGCCUCUGUGGUGCCCUAAGUCGGUUUUUUUGAAUGGCCAGUGCCUAUUUACCUUUUUCUACUAGUGAAAUGAUCGGGCAUGCUUGUGUUCGUAUUCGAUCAAACUGUCUAAAGUCCAUAUGUUGCUGUCCAAAGUUGAUGUUGUUGCUGUUUUCGUUUGUUGAAUAGACUGCUAGCCUUAUUUGUAAAAAGUUUACAUUGUAUAAUUAAGAUUAAUUCUAUGAAUUUUUUUUUCUAUA
Molecule: long non-coding RNA, 2284 nt
Organism: Chenopodium quinoa (quinoa)
Lineage: Eukaryota; Viridiplantae; Streptophyta; Magnoliopsida; Caryophyllales; Amaranthaceae
Exons: 3
Source: RefSeq, a predicted model, not a curated record